AACGCACAUUGCGCCCUUUGGUAUUCCGAAGGGCAUGCCUGUUCGAGCGUCAUUAUCAACCAUCAAGCCUGGCUUGUCGUUGGACCUCUGGUCGCGAGACCGGUCCGAAAGAUAACGGACGGGACCUAGUCGCCCUAGAUGCAACGAGCUUCACAGCGCGCAUCGACCGGUUGCGGGCCCCGCCCUCCAACCCCAUUUUCUCAGGUUGACCUCGGAUCAGGUAGGAAUACCCGCUGAACUUAA
RNAcentral lists this unclassified non-coding RNA (243 nucleotides) under uncultured fungus. Its description in RNAcentral is "partial contains 5.8S ribosomal RNA, internal transcribed spacer 2, and large subunit ribosomal RNA". The stretch from base 1 to 52 matches the Rfam family "5.8S ribosomal RNA", at positions 103 to 154 of the family's 154-position model. Lineage: Eukaryota; Fungi. The record is from RNAcentral.